Molecule: ribosomal RNA, 253 nt
Filed under: uncultured bacterium
Lineage: Bacteria
Description: partial 16S ribosomal RNA
Rfam family: Bacterial small subunit ribosomal RNA
Source: RNAcentral
UACGUAGGGUGCGAGCGUUAAUCGGAAUUACUGGGCGUAAAGUGUGCGCAGGCGGCUUGGCAAGUCGAGUGUGAAAUCCCCGGGCUUAACUUGCGAAUUGCGCUCGAAACUACCUGGCUAGAGUGUGGCAGAGGAAGGUGGAAUUCCACGUGUAGCGGUGAAAUGCGUAGAGAUGUGGAGGAACACCGAUGGCGAAGGCAGCCUUCUGGGCCAACACUGACGCUCAUGCACGAAAGCGUGGGGAGCAAACAGG